UACGUAGGGUGCAAGCGUUGUCCGGAAUUAUUGGGCGUAAAGAGCUCGUAGGCGGCUUGUCGCGUCUGCUGUGAAAUCCCGGGGCUCAACUCCGGGUCUGCAGUGGGUACGGGCAGGCUAGAGUGCGGUAGGGGAGAUUGGAACUCCUGGUGUAGCGGUGGAAUGCGCAGAUAUCAGGAAGAACACCGAUGGCGAAGGCAGAUCUCUGGGCCGCUACUGACGCUGAGGAGCGAAAGCAUGGGGAGCGAACAGG
RNAcentral lists this ribosomal RNA (253 nucleotides) under uncultured bacterium. Its description in RNAcentral is "partial 16S ribosomal RNA". It matches the Rfam family "Bacterial small subunit ribosomal RNA", at positions 524 to 776 of the family's 1533-position model. The record is from RNAcentral.